AACGAACGCUGGCGGAAGGCAGAACACAGGCAAGUCGAACGAGACCUUCGGGUCUAGUGGCGCACGGGUGCGUAACGCGUGGGAACCUGCCCUUAGGUUCGGAAUAACUCCCCGAAAGGGGUGCUAAUACCGGAUAAUGUCUUCGGACCAAAGAUUUAUCGCCUUUGGAUGGGCCCGCGUUGGAUUAGCUAGUUGGUAGGGUAAAAGCCUACCAAGGCGACGAUCCAUAGCUGGUCUGAGAGGAUGAUCAGCCACACUGGGACUGAGACACGGCCCAGACUCCUACGGGAGGCAGCAGUGGGGAAUAUUGGACAAUGGGCGAAAGCCUGAUCCAGCAAUGCCGCGUGAGUGAUGCAGGCCUUAGGGUUGUAAAGCUCUUUUACCCGGGAUGAUAAUGACAGUACCGGGAGAAUAAGCUCCGGCUACCUCCGUG
RNAcentral lists this ribosomal RNA (433 nucleotides) under uncultured bacterium. RNAcentral describes it as "partial 16S ribosomal RNA". It matches the Rfam family "Bacterial small subunit ribosomal RNA", at positions 29 to 507 of the family's 1533-position model. The record is from RNAcentral.